This 76-nucleotide transfer RNA is filed under the name Chloroflexi bacterium RBG_16_48_8. RNAcentral's name for it is "tRNA-Glu". It matches the Rfam family "tRNA". Rfam says of the family: Transfer RNA (tRNA) molecules are approximately 80 nucleotides in length. Their secondary structure includes four short double-helical elements and three loops (D, anti-codon, and T loops). Lineage: Bacteria; Bacillati; Chloroflexota. The record is from RNAcentral.
GCCCCCAUCGUCUAGGGGACCAGGACGCGGGCCUUUCAAGCCCAAAACGGGGGUUCGAAUCCCCCUGGGGGCACCA